CCUACGGGAGGCAGCAGUGGGGAAUUUUGGACAAUGGGCGCAAGCCUGAUCCAGCCAUUCCGCGUGCAGGACGAAGGCCUUCGGGUUGUAAACUGCUUUUGUACGGAACGAAAAAGCUCUUACUAAUACUAGGAGUCCAUGACGGUACCGUAAGAAUAAGCACCGGCUAACUACGUGCCAGCAGCCGCGGUAAUACGUAGGGUGCGAGCGUUAAUCGGAAUUACUGGGCGUAAAGCGUGCGCAGGCGGUUAUAUAAGACAGAUGUGAAAUCCCCGGGCUCAACCUGGGAACUGCAUUUGUGACUGUAUAGCUAGAGUGCGGCAGAGGGGGAUGGAAUUCCGCGUGUAGCAGUGAAAUGCGUAGAUAUGCGGAGGAACACCGAUGGCGAAGGCAAUCCCCUGGGCCUGCACUGACGCUCAUGCACGAAAGCGUGGGGAGCAAACAGGAUUAGAUACCCUGGUAGUCCACGCCCUAAACGAUGUCAACUGGUUGUUGGGUCUUCACUGACUCAGUAACGAAGCUAACGCGUGAAGUUGACCGCCUGGGGAGUACGGCCGCAAGGUUGAAACUCAAAUGAAUUGACGGA
RNAcentral lists this ribosomal RNA (586 nucleotides) under uncultured bacterium. RNAcentral describes it as "bacterial SSU rRNA". It matches the Rfam family "Bacterial small subunit ribosomal RNA", at positions 338 to 917 of the family's 1533-position model. The record is from RNAcentral.